Molecule: ribosomal RNA, 694 nt
Filed under: uncultured Bacillota bacterium
Lineage: Bacteria; Bacillati; Bacillota
Description: bacterial SSU rRNA
Rfam family: Bacterial small subunit ribosomal RNA
Source: RNAcentral
GAGGGUUUGAUCCUGGCUCAGGACGAACGCUGGCGGCGUGCCUAAUACAUGCAAGUCGAGCGAACUUGCGGGAGCUUGCUCCCAAAAGUUAGCGGCGGACGGGUGAGUAACACGUGGGCAACCUGCCUGUAAGACUGGGAUAACUUCGGGAAACCGGAGCUAAUACCGGAUAAUUCUUAUCAACACAUGUUGGUAAGCUAAAAGACGGUUUCGGCUGUCACUUACAGAUGGGCCCGCGGCGCAUUAGCUAGUUGGUGAGGUAACGGCUCACCAAGGCGACGAUGCGUAGCCGACCUGAGAGGGUGAUCGGCCACACUGGGACUGAGACACGGCCCAGACUCCUACGGGAGGCAGCAGUAGGGAAUCUUCCGCAAUGGACGAAAGUCUGACGGAGCAACGCCGCGUGAGUGAUGAAGGUUUUCGGAUCGUAAAACUCUGUUGUUAGGGAAGAACAAGUACGAGAGUAACUGCUCGUACCUUGACGGUACCUUAACCAGAAAGCCUCGGCUAACUACGUUGCCAGCAGCCGCGGGUAAUACGUAGGUUGGCAAGCGUUGUCCGGAAUUUAUUUGGGCGUAAAGCGCGCGCAGGCGGUCCUUUAAGUCUGAAGUGAAAGCCCUACGGCUCAACCGUGGAGGGUCAUUGGNAACUGGGGGGACUUGAGUUGCAGGGAGAUAAAAUUGGAAAUUCCCCC